CCUACGGGGGUCAGCAGUGGGGAAUAUUGCACAAUGGGGGAAACCCUGAUGCAGCGACGCCGCGUGAGUGAAGAAGUAUCUCGGUACGUAAAGCUCUGUCAGAAGGGAAGAAAAUGACGGUACCUGACUAAGAAGCCCCGGCUAACUACGUGCCAGCAGCCGCGGUCAUACGUAGGGGGCAAGCGUUAUCCGGAUUUACUGGGUGUAAAGGGAGCGUAGACGGCAGCACAAGUCUGGAGUUAAAUCCCGGGGCUUAACCCCGGAACUGCUUUGGAAACUGUUCGGCGGGAGUGCAGGAGGGGUAAGCUGAAGUGCUAGGGUAGCGGUGAAAUGCGUAGAUAUUAGGAGGAACACCGGUGGCGAAGGCGGCUUACUGGACUGUAACUGACGUUGAGGCUCGAAAGCGUGGGGAGCAAACAGGAUUAGAUACCCCGGUAGUC
This 440-nucleotide ribosomal RNA is filed under the name uncultured bacterium. RNAcentral describes it as "partial 16S ribosomal RNA". It matches the Rfam family "Bacterial small subunit ribosomal RNA", at positions 338 to 795 of the family's 1533-position model. The record is from RNAcentral.